RNAcentral lists this ribosomal RNA (497 nucleotides) under uncultured bacterium. RNAcentral describes it as "partial 16S ribosomal RNA". It matches the Rfam family "Bacterial small subunit ribosomal RNA", at positions 28 to 507 of the family's 1533-position model. The record is from RNAcentral.
GAUGAACGCUGGCGGCGUGCCUAAUACAUGCAAGUCGAGCGAACAGACGAGGAGCUUGCUCCUCUGACGUUAGCGGCGGACGGGUGAGUAACACGUGGAUAACCUACCUAUAAGACUGGGAUAACUUCGGGAAACCGGAGCUAAUACCGGAUAAUAUAUUGAACCGCAUGGUUCAAUAGUGAAAGACGGUUUUGCUGUCACUUAUAGAUGGAUCCGCGCCGCAUUAGCUAGUUGGUAAGGUAAAGGCUUACCAAGGCAACGAUGCGUAGCCGACCUGAGAGGGUGAUCGGCCACACUGGAACUGAGCCACGGUCCAGACUCCUACGGGAGGCAGCAGUAGGGAAUCUUCCGCAAUGGGCGAAAGCCUGACGGAGCAACGCCGCGUGAGUGAUGAAGGUCUUCGGAUCGGAAAACUCUGUUAUUAGGGAAGAACAAAUGUGUAAGUAACUAUGCACGUCUUGACGGUACCUAAUCAGAAAGCCACGGCUAACUACGUG